Tachyglossus aculeatus (Australian echidna) is the source of this 138-nucleotide small nucleolar RNA. Lineage: Eukaryota; Metazoa; Chordata; Mammalia; Monotremata; Tachyglossidae. The record is from RefSeq and is a predicted model, not a curated record.
CUCCUCUCAGAAUCACACCUAGAGAGUUUCCAGGACUCUACCAAUCUUGACUAUGGGAGGCAGAGUCAAACAGAGGCCUACCCAUUCCAUUCCUAGCUUGGACAGUGGCUAGCGAGUGGAAAGCAAUCUGCUGCAGAG